Molecule: ribosomal RNA, 1813 nt
Filed under: Ligustrum ovalifolium
Lineage: Eukaryota; Viridiplantae; Streptophyta; Magnoliopsida; Lamiales; Oleaceae
Description: contains 16S-23S intergenic spacer region
Rfam family: Bacterial small subunit ribosomal RNA (bases 1-1526)
Source: RNAcentral
AAGAGUUUGAUCCUGGCUCAGGAUUAACGCUGGCGGCGUGCCUAAUACAUGCAAGUCGAACGGAAACCUACGGGUUUUAGUGGCGAACGGGUGAGUAACACGCAAGUAAUCUGCCCUUAAGACGAGGAUAACAGUUGGAAACAAUUGCUAAGACUGGAUAGGAAGCGGGGAGGCCUCUCGCCGCUUUUAAAAGACCUAGUUUCUAGGUAUGCUUAAGGAGGGGCUUGCGCCAUAUUAGUUAGUUGGUAGGGUAACGGCCUCCCAAGACGAUGAUGUGUAGCUGGACUGAGAGGUUGAACGGCCACAUUGGGACUGAGAUACGGCCCAAACUCCUACGGGAGGCAGCAGUAGGGAAUUUUCGGCAAUGGAGGCAACUCUGACCGAGCAACGCCGCGUGAACGAUGAAGUACUUCGGUAUGUAAAGUUCUUUUAUUAAGGAAGAAAACAGCCCGGCGAACCGGGCUUUUGACGGUACUUAAGGAAUCAGCCCCGGCUAAUUAUGUGCCAGCAGCCGCGGUAAUACAUAAGGGGCGAGUGUUAUCCGGAAUUAUUGGGCGUAAAGGGUGCGUAGGCGGUGAAGUUAGUCAAUGGUGUAAUGGCAGCGCUUAACGGUGUCCGGCUAUUGAAACUGCUUCACUCGAGUGAGAUAGAGGCGAGUGGAAUUCCAUGUGUAGCGGUAAAAUGUGUAAAUAUAUGGAGGAACACCAGAGGCGUAGGCGGCUCGCUGGGUCUUGACUGACGCUGAGGCACGAAAGCGUGGGGAGCAAACAGGAUUAGAUACCCUGGUAGUCCACGCCGUAAACGAUGAGUACUAAGUGUCGGGUUCCCCCGGUACUGAAGUUAACACAUUAAGUACUCCGCCUGAGUAGUACGUACGCAAGUAUGAAACUUAAAGGAAUUGACGGGACUCCGCACAAGCGGUGGAUCAUGUUGUUUAAUUCGAAGAUACGCGAAAAACCUUACCAGGCCUUGACAUGUUCGUGCAAUGCAGUAGUAAUAUUGCGGAGGUUAUCACGAUCACAGGUGGUGCAUGGUUGUCGUCAGCUCGUGUCGUGAGAUGUUAGGUUAAGUCCUAAAACGAGCGAAACCCUUGUCAUUAGUUGCCAGCAUGUUAAGAUGGGGACUCUAAUGAGACUGCCAGUGACAAACUGGAGGAAGGUGGGGAUUACGUCAAAUCAGCAUGCCCCUUAUGGCCUGGGCUACAAACGUGAUACAAUGGCUGUGACAAAGAGUAGCUGAAACGCGAGUUUUUAGCCAAUCUCAAAAACGCAGUCUCAGUUCGGAUUGAAGUCUGCAACUCGACUUCAUGAAGUUGGAAUCGCUAGUAAUCGCGAAUCAGCAUGUCGCGGUGAAUACGCUCUCGGGGUUUGUACACACCGCCCGUCAAACCACGAAAGUUGGCAAUACCCCAAAACGGUCGCUUAACGGACUCCGGUCCGAGGGCCCCGUCUAAGGUAGGGUUGAUGAUUGGGGUUAAGUCGUAACAAGGUAUCCCUACCGGAAGGUGGGGAUGGAUCACCUCUUUUCUAAGGAUAAACCUAAUUAAUAUCAUCUUCAGUUUUGAAAGACUUAGGACCCCUAAGUUUUUCGUGGUUACAGACCAGGGGCCUAUAGCUCAGUUGGUUAGAGCACACGCCUGAUAAGCGUGAGGUCGGUGGUUCAAGUCCAUUUAGGCCCACCAUACCCGGAAGUCGGGAUUGGGUUUGUAAACAAGCUCUUUGAAAAUUAGAUAAAUCACGGGUACCACCCGUAAAAAUUAAAGAAAAUAAGGGCGCACAGUGGAUGCCUAGGCACCAAGAGCCGAUGAAGGACG